UGCAAGUCGUGCGAGAAAGUACCUUCGGGUGCGAGUAGAGCGGCGGACGGGUGAGUAACGCGUAGGAAUCUACCUAGUAGAAGGGGAUAGCCCGAGGAAACUCGGAUUAAUACCGUAUACCUCCUUAGGGAGAAAGAGGGCUUAGCUUUGAUGCUCUCGCUAUUAGAUGAGCCUGCGUAAGAUUAGCUUGUUGGUGAGGUAAUGGCUCACCAAGGCGACGAUCUUUAGCUGGUCUGAGAGGACGAUCAGCCACAUUGGGACUGAGACACGGCCCAGACUCCUACGGGAGGCAGCAGUGGGGAAUAUUGGACAAUGGGCGCAAGCCUGAUCCAGCCAUACCGCGUGUGUGAAGAAGGCUUUCGGGUUGUAAAGCACUUUAAGUAAGGAGAAAAAGAUUGUAGUUAAUACCUGCAAUCCUUGAUGUUACUUACAGAAUAAGGACCGGCUAAUUCCGUGCCAGCAGCCGCGGUAAUACGGGAGGUCCAAGCGUUAAUCGGAAUUACUGGGCGUAAGCGCGCGUAGGUGGUUUUUUAAGUUGGAUGUGAAAGCCCUGGGCUCAACCUAGGAACUGCAUCCAAAACUAGAUGACUAGAGUACGAAAGAGGGAAGUAGAAUUCACAGUGUAGCGGUGGAAUGCGUAGAUAUUGUGAAGAAUACCAAUGGCGAAGGCAGCUUCCUGGUUCUGUACUGACACUAAGGUGCGAAAGCGUGGGUAGCGAACAGGAUUAGAUACCCUGGUAGUCCACGCCGUAAACGAUGACAACUAGCUGUUGGGAGACAAGAUCUCUCAGUGGCGCAGCUAACGCUUUAAGUUGUCCGCCUGGGGAGUACGGCCGCAAGGCUAAAACUCAAAUGAAUUGAC
Molecule: ribosomal RNA, 862 nt
Filed under: uncultured marine bacterium
Lineage: Bacteria
Description: bacterial SSU rRNA
Rfam family: Bacterial small subunit ribosomal RNA
Source: RNAcentral